UGAGGAACAUGACCUUCGGCGGGGGAUAGCCGGCCCAACGGCCGGGUAAUACCGCGUACGACCUUCCAGGGACAUCCCUGGA
Molecule: ribosomal RNA, 82 nt
Filed under: uncultured bacterium
Lineage: Bacteria
Description: partial 16S ribosomal RNA
Source: RNAcentral